Molecule: ribosomal RNA, 496 nt
Filed under: uncultured bacterium
Lineage: Bacteria
Description: partial 16S ribosomal RNA
Rfam family: Bacterial small subunit ribosomal RNA
Source: RNAcentral
AUUGAACGCUGGCGGCAUGCUUUACACAUGCAAGUCGAACGGUAGAGGGGGCAACCCCUUGAGAGUGGCGAACGGGUGAGUAAUGCAUCGGAACGUGCCCAGUCGUGGGGGAUAGCCCGGGGAAACCCGGAUUAAUACCGCAUACGACCUGAGGGUGAAAGCGGGGGACCGAAAGGCCUCGCGCGAUUGGAGCGGCCGAUGUCGGAUUAGGUAGUUGGUGGGGUAAAGGCCUACCAAGCCUGCGAUCCGUAGCUGGUCUGAGAGGACGACCAGCCACACUGGGACUGGGAGACGGCCCAGACUCCUACGGGAGGCAGCAGUGGGGAAUUUUGGACAAUGGGCGCAAGCCUGAUCCAGCCAUGCCGCGUGCGGGAAGAAGGCCUUCGGGUUGUAAACCGCUUUUGUCAGGGAAGAAAUCCCUUGGACUAAUACUCUGGGGGGAUGACGGUACCUGAAGAAUAAGCACCGGCUAACUACGUGCCAGCAGCCGCCGUAA